CUGUAGAUACCUUCUGCUUCAGAUAAGUUUGCGUCAAUCGUCCUUGCAACAGAACCGUGAUCAAUAAAUGCUUGAAGAGCUUGGUCAGGCAUUGUUGAAACCUAGCAGAAAUUUCAUUAGAGGUCAACCAUCAUUCAUGCAUACACAGGUAAACGGAUUAUUCACAUCUUUAAUAUUUGUCCCCAUUAGCCUAGGGGUCCUGUAUUAUGAUUUCUUUUUUCUUUUUUCAGAUAAAUAUAGCCCUCUAGGUCAACAGGAGACAAGAAUGUAAGCUCCCGUUUGGAAAUAGAUGUAACUUGAAAUUUUGAGUUCUAGAAGUAGUGAUUGGACAUGCAUUUUACUUCGUGAGCUAGUUUAUAGAAACAUGAAAAAAAAAAUAAGAUCGGAUUUUGAAAAUCUUAUCAAAUUUCAUGGCCAAACAGAUAUUUGAAGAUAAAUUUUCAAGAUCUGAUACAAAAAUCUAUGACCAAACGCUAGCUAAAUAGUGACUCUGAAAAUCUAAUCAAAUUUCAUGGCCAAACAGAUAUUUGAAGAUAAAUUUUCAAGAUUUGAUACAAAAAUCUAUGACCAAAUGCUACCUAAAUAGUGGCUUUAAAAAAGGUGAUUCGUGCAAAUGCCCCCCAAGUAAUAUUUAAUUAGAGGCAAAUCAAAAAAAGUGGUUUUAUGUCUUCUUAAGGAUUUACAAUCACCACAAAAAGAAGGUGAGAAGAUGACUCACAGUGUCCGGUCCAAUCAGAGGAUCCACAUAUAAAGUGUCGGGAUACGCUGGGUUCUUAACACUAGUUGAGGCCCACAAUAGCCUCUGCUUCUUGGCACCUUUCUUUACCAACGCCUCCCAUCUAGGACCAGAAAAUUUCUUUUGGUAAAGAUCGUAAGCUAGAGCAGCCUGUGCAUUUGCAGCCUGCAAUGGAAGUACAACAAUCUGACUUUAUCCAGAACUUGUAUUUCUCUUGCAUCCUAAAAGGAGUAGAAAAAUUUGAACAAGUAGUAGGUACCUUCCCACGAAGAUCAAGAGCCUCUGGAGUUCCAAUUUUCUCAAGCAACUUGUCGAUAAGUGUGUCUACUCGACUAACGAAGAAUGAUGCAACACUUGUGACUCUGGAUAGAUCACUUAGCCCAGAGGCCUCAAGACCAUCAAGGUAAGCAUCAAUGACUGCUUCAUAUCUUGAAAGAGAAAAGAUAAGCUGUGCGUACACAUAGGAUCUACUUCAGUAUUCAAGAAACCGAUAAGGUACAAAAAGGCAAAUGAAAACAUGAAACAUUUAAAUGAAAAACUGAAUGACAGUUCUUUACACAGCAAAGACAUAAUUCUCCAUUCACUAAUUAAUUCCCUGUGCAGAUAGCUGUCUUAAGCACCACUAGACAAGCAACCUUCAAUCUCAUGCAUGAACCGUCAAGUUGUCAACAAAGGCGACAGUGAAUCAACUUACCGUCACAUUGACACUUAUUCCAAGUGAAAUGACUUCCUUGAUGGAAGGAAUGCAUGGAGCAGUAGCGGGAAUUUUAAUAUACACAUUGGAACGUUCAACCUUCUUAUGAAGCCACUUUGCAGCCUCCACAGUCCCCUCUGUAUCAUCAGCAAGUCUAGGUGAGACUUCAACAGAAACGUACCCAUCGCCACCAUCUGUUUUAUCAUAGAUUGUCUCAAAGAGUUUGCAUGCAUCUUGGAUGUCCUUUACCACAAGUUCCCAAUACACACUGUCUAUAUCUUUUCCAGCUUGUACAAGUUCCCUGUAAAGAGCAGUGGAUAAAGAUAAGCAGAGUGCAAAACAGGAAGCACGAACAGGGUUAGACGUAAUGUGAAGAAUAUCAUAGAUGCAUUUCAGGUAAUAUGUGUCAAAAGGAAACUUUGGAAAAAAACACAAAAUAUCCUAUAGAAUUGCAAGUCUUUGAACCCUAUAACAAUCUGAUUAACAUUGGUAAUGGUAUUAUAUAACAUGCAGAUGCUCGUCAUAAAGCUCCAAGCAUGAGCCAAAGGGUGGAACAGUCCUACCAAAUCCAACCUUUGUAUGGACAUUUGACCAAACAGAAACAUUUAUUAUACUUUCCCAAGACCAACUCUUGUUAUUGUCUUCAUUCUAUGUCUCCUCUCCUAUUUUACUCUAAAAAACGGUUUGUAAAUCCGUUCAGCUGAUGAGAAACACUUGAAAGUCUAGAUUACCUG
This 2164-nucleotide long non-coding RNA is filed under the name Solanum lycopersicum (tomato). Its description in RNAcentral is "long non-coding RNA (SLYC_LNC000930)". Lineage: Eukaryota; Viridiplantae; Streptophyta; Magnoliopsida; Solanales; Solanaceae. The record is from RNAcentral.